AAGACUCGAUAACUGAAGACGACAAGAGGAGAAACUACGGAGGAGUGUAUGUUGGCCUGCCCUCAGAAGCUGUCAACAUAGCGUCUAGUCAAGCAAAGACCGUACAAAAAAAUUAGAGGAAGAUAACGCAAUGGCUGGAUACCCGAGAGUGGGAUUUUGUGCCACCCACCCAUGAGAGACCAUAAAGGCUGUUGUUACCCGGCCUGGGCUAGCAGGCUCCACACCAUGGUGUUUUCCCUCCUGGCCACUCAGCACAGUUCACAAAGUGCAUGUCUUUUCACAAAUAAUCUUUUGAUAGUUUUUAUAUGACACAAUCCUUAUUGUAUUUAUAACACGACUGUAGGGCCAUGAAAUCGAAUUACUGAAGUAAUAUAUUGCCUCUUGUCCGUCGAUGUUUCUACAUCAUGACUUUUUAGCUGUGAAGUUGGUGAAUGGAUUCUUACAACCAUCUCCCAUUUUUACCAGCAGGUUUAACGUUUUUAUUUAAAUGCCGGAGAAUCCCUUCCCUUCGUUAAGAAUGUUGCAGCAUUUGAAAUGAACUGGUUCAAUGUGCAUGCUACACACACAUGUGGAUUAAAUUCUUCUCUUAUGUAAUUAUAAAUAUUCCCCAGCCGUCCAGUUCCUGUUCUCCCCUUGUGUAGCCCGAGCAUCUCAUCAUGUUAACUUGGCACCGUCUCUU
Molecule: long non-coding RNA, 679 nt
Filed under: Rattus norvegicus (Norway rat)
Lineage: Eukaryota; Metazoa; Chordata; Mammalia; Rodentia; Muridae
Description: long non-coding RNA NONRATT026622
Source: RNAcentral